CUACAAUGAUGCCAGUAUAUUUCAUCAACAGCAGUUCACCUAGUGAGUGUUGAUACUUUGGGUCUGAGUGA
Carlito syrichta (Philippine tarsier) is the source of this 71-nucleotide small nucleolar RNA. The record is from Ensembl. Lineage: Eukaryota; Metazoa; Chordata; Mammalia; Primates; Tarsiidae.